This 17323-nucleotide long non-coding RNA is filed under the name Vitis vinifera (wine grape). RNAcentral describes it as "long non-coding RNA (VVIN_LNC003280)". Lineage: Eukaryota; Viridiplantae; Streptophyta; Magnoliopsida; Vitales; Vitaceae. The record is from RNAcentral.
CUACCCAGAAGAGUGGCUCAAGUUCACAUUCAGAAUUUAUUUGUUGAAAGAGUAUCUCCACUUUAUCACAAUCGAGCACUUCCAAUUCUUUCAGAAGUGGCCAACUUGAACUAAACCUUCUAGAGCAAAAUCUUUUGAGUUGGUGUAAACCAGAGAGAGUGAGAGAGGUAAGGUUAGGGAAUAAGAGUAAAGGUGCUGCUUCAUCUUUAUUUUCAUUGGCAACAAUUGCCUCCACUCCACUCUCCGAUAUAUAUAGGUAAUCAAGUUGCACAAGAGCACUCGCCACAGAAACCGGAAAAAGGUUUAGCAAUUUGUUGCAUCCCCUUACUUGCAAUUUCCUUAAUUUGGAAAAUGAAUUUGCUGGAAGUUGGUCAGGCCACAAUGCUCUUAUAUUAUCUAGUCCACGUACAGACAAGGACUCCAAGCCUGGGAGUGCAACCUGUGCAAUUGAUGAUCCCUUUAGUUAAUAAUAUAUACAUAUACAUUCCUAAUAAUUAGACACAUGUAAAUAGAAAAUAAGAGGUUAAAGGAGAAUAUAUCAGUAUAACAAAGCACAAAAUUUAAACUAGAUUCAAGAAGAUCAAGAAAGAGAAAAGAAAAGAAAAAGCCUCCAGAUUUUGAAGAUACAAUGAAACUUAAAAAAAAAAAAAAAAAACCUCCAAAUUUUCCUUUCGAAAUGAGGUAAUAAGAGGAUUUUUCUUUGCCUCUCUUUCAAAUUUGAUUAACUUCUAUGGAAAACGUAUUUUAACUAGUUAUGGAAAACAUAUUUUUUUUUUUAAACUUUUAUAUAAGAUACAAGUAAUACUUUAAAAAAAUUGUGACAUCUAAAAAAUUUUUUGAAAAAUUAUUUUUAAAGAAAUAAGGUAAAUCUAUACUUUUUGUAUAAGAUGUUCUACCUUUAUAUACAAAUUUCUGAUUUUUUUUUUUUAAAGUGUAUCCAAAUGGACACUAAACUAUCUAGUUUUUAAUUGUUACAACUUUGAAUUGCAUUUUAUGGUAAACUAAUUUACAAGUUAAUGCAUGGAUUCAUCUUAGAUUCCAUCUAUAAAUUUUUUUAAUUAUCUAAUAUAAGACAUUAUAUUAAUGGGUUGAAUUAAUAAUGUAAUUAUAAUUUAUUUGGCAACUUUCUUCCUUCAAAUAUAUAAAAUGAAAAUAAAUUUUAAAAAAUAAAAAAAAAAUGAAAAACAUAAAAAAUAAAAAAAGAUUUUUUUUUAUAGUUUUUCUAAGAUGAUUUUGUAGAGUACUGUUAGUUUAUAGUUUUAACUUUAUUUCAUUUUACUUUUAACUUUAUUUAUUGAGGUAUGUUCUUUUUUGAAACUCUUGUUUAGAUUUUAUAGAGAAUAUAAAUUUUAAGAAAAAAAAUGAAAUUUAAAUAAAAUAAGAAUAAAGAAAGGCAAAAGGUGGAUGAAUUUUUUUAAGGCAAAAGUUUGAUAACUUGGCACUAUCAUGUAAUGGGUGAAAUUUUUAAAUACUCAACAAAGGCUAGUGAAAUUUAAAUUAAAAGCUUGAUAUGUACUUUUUCGACCAAAAUCUUUGGAGUUGGUGUAAAGUUUUGAGUAUGAGAGAGGUUAGUCUAGGGAAUACUAUUGCACAUUAGUUCAAAUAAAACAUCAACAUUUUUUUUUGUUAAAUUCUAAAUGAACACCACUAUAAAUUAAUGCGAUUUUGUAUGCUCAAUUAAAUAAACUCGUUCUUAAGGCAUCACAUGAAGUGUUUAAGUCUAAUGAAUAUUAAUUAAAAAUGAUUAUAUUAAAAAAAUCCAAAGUAAUUUAUUUUUAUCAUAAGUCAAGUAGGAUAGUUUUAUAAAUAAACUGUUCUAGUUUCUAGUAUAAUUGUACACAAUCGCUAUGUUUGUUGCACCUCCAAAAAAUCUACUACUUGUAAUUAAUUGUAUAUUAUUCUCCAUAUUCACAUCAGUUUAUGUAGUAUGAUUAAUUUAGCAACAAAAUAUAAGUUUACUUGAAAUCGCUUUAAAUUCCUAUGAUAUUAAAGUUUAAGAUUAAAACAAUGUAACAUUAGCCAAAAAGACUAAGAUCUAUAAUGUAACAUAUAAAAUUUAGAAAAUUCAAGGAAGGGUAAACUCGCACCUGUUCUACCCAGAAGAGUGGCUCAAGUUCACAUUCAGAAUUUAUUUGUUGAAAGAGUAUCUCCACUUUAUCACAAUCGAGCACUUCCAAUUCUUUCAGAAGUGGCCAGCUUGAACUAAACCUUCUAGAGCAAAAUCUUUUCAGUUGGUGUAAACCGGAGAGUGUGAGAGAGGUAAGGUUAGGGAAUAAGAGUAAAGGUGCUGCUUCAUCUUCAUUUUCAUUGGCAACAAUUGCCUCCACUCCACUCUCCGAUAUAUAUAGGUCCUCAAGAUGCACAAGAGCACUCGCCACAGAAACCGGAAAAAGGUUUAGCAGUUUGUUGCAUCCCCUUACUUGCAAUUUCCUUAAUUUGGAAAAUGAAUUUGCUGGAAGUUGGUCAGGCCACAAUGCUCUUAUAUUAUCUAGUCCGCGUACAGACAAGGACUCCAACCCUGGGAGUGCAACCUCUGCAAUUGAUGAUCCCUUUAGUUAAUAAUAUAUACAUAUACAUUCCUAAUAAUUAGACACAUGUAAAUAGAAAAUAAGAGGUUAAAGGAGAAUAUAUCAGUAUAACAAAGCACAAAAUUUAAACUAGAUUCAAGAAGAUCAAGAAAGAGAAAAGAAAAGAAAAAGCCUCCAGAUUUUGAAGAUACAAUGAAACUUAAAAAAAAAAAAAAAAACCUUCAAAUUUUCCUUUCGAAAUGAGCUAAUAAGAGGAUUUUUUUUUUCUUUUUUCUUUGCAUCUCUUUCAAAUUUGAUUAACUUCUAUGGAAAACGUAUUUUAACUAGUUAUGGAAAACGGAUAUUUUUUUUUUAACUUUUAUAUAAGAUACAAGUAAUACUUUAAAAAAAUUGUGAUAUCUAAAUAAUUUUUUGAAAAAUUAUUUUGAAAGAAAUAAGGUAAAUCUAUACUUUUUGUAUAAGAUGUUCAACCUUUAUAUACAAAUUUCUAAUUUUUUUUUUUAAAGUGUAUCCAAAUGGACACUAAACUAUCUAGUUUUUAAUUGUUACAACUUUGAAUUGGAUUUUAUGGUAAACUAAUUUACAAGUUAAUGCAUGGAUUCAUCUUAGAUUCCAUCUAUAAAUUUUUUUAAUUAUCUAAUAUAAGACAUUAUAUUAAUGGGUUGAAUUAAUAAUGUAAUUAUAAUUUAUUUGGCAACUUUCUUCCUUCAAAUAUAUAAAAUGAAAAUAAAUUUUAAAAAAUAAAAAAAAUGAAAAAAAUAAAAAAUAAAAAAAGAUUUUUUUUAUAGUUUUUCUAAGGUGAUUUUGUAGAGUAUUGUUAGUUUAUAGUUUUAACUUUAUUUCAUUUUACUUUUAACUUUAUUUAUUGAGGUAUGUUCUUUUUUGCAACUCUUGUUUAGAUUUUAUAGAGAAUAUAAAUUUUAAGAAAAAAAAUGAAAUUUAAAUAAAAUAAGAAUAAAGAAAGGCAAAAGGUGGAUGAAUUUUCUUAAGGCAAAAGUUUGAUAACUUGGCACUAUCAUGUAAUGGGUGAAAUUUUUAAAUACUCAACAAAGGCUAGUGAAAUUUAAAUUAAAAGCUUGACAUGUACCUUUUCGACCAAAAUCUUUGGAGUUGGUGUAAAGUUUUGAGUAUGAGAGAGGUUAGUAUAGGGAAUAUUAUUGCACAUUAGUUCAAAUAAAACAUCAACAUUUUUUUUUGUUAAAUUCUAAAUGAACACCACUAUAAAUUAAUGCGAUUUUGUAUGCUCAAUUAAAUAAACUCGUUCUUAAGGCAUCACAUGAAGUGUUUAAGUCUAAUUAAUAUUAAUUAAAAAUGAUUAUAUUAAAAAAAAUCCAAAGUAAUUUAUUUUUAUCAUAAGUCAAGUAGGAUAGUUUUAUAAAUAAUUGGUUCUAGUUUCUAGUAUUAUUGUACACAAUCGCUAUGUUUGUUGCACCUCCAAAAAAUCUACUACUUGUAAUUAAUUGUAUAUUAUUCUCCAUAUUCACAUCAGUUUAUGUAGUAUGAUUAAUUUAGCAACAAAAUAUAAGUUUACUUGAAAUCGCUUUAAAUUCCUAUGAUAUUAAAGUUUAAGAUUAAAACAAUGUAACAUUAGCCAAAAAGAUUAAGAUCUAUAAUGUAACAUAUAAAAUUUAGAAAAUUCAAGGAAGGGUAAACUCGCACCUGUUCUACCCAGAAGAGUGGCUCAAGUUCACAUUCAGAAUUUAUUUGUUGAAAGAGUAUCUCCACUUUAUCACAAUCGAGCACUUCCAAUUCUUUCAGAAGUGGCCAGCUUGAACUAAACCUUCUAGAGCAAAAUCUUUUGAGUUGGUGUAAACCGGAGAGUGUGAGAGAGGUAAGGUUAGGGAAUGAGAGUAAAGGUGCUGCUUCAUCUUCAUUUUCAUUGGCAACAAUUGCCUCCACUCCACUCUCCGAUAUAUAAAGGUCCUCAAGUUGCACAAGAGCACUCGCCACAGAAACCGGAAAAAGGUUUAGCAAUUUGUUGCAUCCCCUUCCUUGCAAUUUCCUUAAUUUGGAAAAUGAAUUUGCUGGAAGUUGGUCAGGCCACAAUGCUCUUAUAUUAUCUAGUCCACGUACAGACAAGGACUCCAAGCCUGGGAGUGCAACCUGUGCAAUUGAUGAUCCCUUUAGUUAAUAAUAUAUACAUAUACAUUCCUAAUAAUUAGACACAUGUAAAUAGAAAAUAAGAGGUUAAAGGAGAAUAUAUCAGUAUAACAAAGCACAAAAUUUAAACUAGAUUCAAGAAGAUCAAGAAAGAGAAAAGAAAAGAAAAAGCCUCCAGAUUUUGAAGAUACAAUGAAACUUAAAAAAAAAAAAAAAAAAACUUCCAAAUUUUCCUUUCGAAAUGAGGUAAUAAGAGGAUUUUUUUUUUCUUUUUUCUUUGCCUCUCUUUCAAAUUUGAUUAACUUCUAUGGAAAACGUAUUUUAACUAGUUAUGGAAAACCGAUUUUUUUUUUUUUAACUUUUAUAUAAGAUACAAGUAAUACUUUAAAAAAAUUGUGAUAUCUAAAUAAUUUUUUGAAAAAUUAUUUUUAAAGAAAUAAGGUAAAUCUAUACUUUUUGUACAAGAUGUUCUACCUUUAUAUACAAAUUUCUGAUUUUUUUUUUAAAAGUGUAUCCAAAUGGACACUAAACUAUCUAGUUUUUAAUUGUUACAACUUUGAAUUGGAUUUUAUGGUAAACUAAUUUACAAGUUAAUGCAUGGAUUCAUCUUAGAUUCCAUCUAUAAAUUUUUUUAAUUAUCUAAUAUAAGACAUUAUAUUAAUGAGUUGAAUUAAUAAUGUAAUUAUAAUUUAUUUGGCAACUUUCUUCCUUCAAAUAUAUAAAAUGAAAAUAAAGUUUAAAAAAUAAAAAAAAUGAAAAAAAUAAAAAAUAAAAAAUGAUUUUUUUUAUAGUUUUUCUAAGAUGAUUUUGUAGAGUACUGUUAGUUUAUAGUUUUAACUUUAUUUCAUUUUACUUUUAACUUUAUUUAUUGAGGUAUGUUCUUUUUUGAAACUCUUGUUUAGAUUUUAUAGAGAAUAUAAAUUUUAAGAAAAAAAAUGAAAUUUAAAUAAAAUAAGAAUAAAGAAAGGCAAAAGGUGGAUGAAUUUUUUUAAGGCAAAAGUUUGAUAACUUGGCACUAUCAUGUAAUGGGUGAAAUUUUUAAAUACUCAACAAAGGCUAGUGAAAUUUAAAUUAAAAGCUUGACAUGUACCUUUUCGACCAAAAUCUUUGGAGUUGGUGUAAAGUUUUGAGUAUGAGAGAGGUUAGUCUAGGGAAUAUUAUUGCACAUUAGUUCAAAUAAAACAUCAACAUUUUUUUUUUGUUAAAUUCUAAAUGAACACCGCUAUAAAUUAAUGCGAUUUUGUAUGCUCAAUUAAAUAAACUUGUUCUUAAGGCAUCACAUGAAGUGUUUAAGUCUAAUUAAUAUUAAUUAAAAAUGAUUAUAUUAAAAAAAAUCCAAAGUAAUUUAUUUUUAUCAUAAGUCAAGUAGGAUAGUUUUAUAAAUAAUUGGUUCUAGUUUCUAGUACUAUUGUACACAAUCGCUAUGUUUGUUGCACCUCCAAAAAAUCUACUACUUGUAAUUAAUUGUAUAUUAUUCUCCAUAUUCACAUCAGUUUAUGUAGUAUGAUUAAUUUAGCAACAAAAUAUAAGUUUACUUGAAAUCGCUUUAAAUUCCUAUGAUAUUAAAGUUUAAGAUUAAAACAAUGUAACAUUAGCCAAAAAGAUUAAGAUCUAUAAUGUAACAUAUAAUAUUUAGAAAAUUCAAGGAAGGGUAAACUCGCACCUGUUCUACCCAGAAGAGUGGCUCAAGUUCACAUUCAUAAUUUAUUUGUUGAAAGAGUAUCUCCACUUUAUCACAAUCGAGCACUUCCAAUUCUUUCAGAAGUGGCCAGCUUGAACUAAACCUUCUAGAGAAAAAUCUUUUGAGUUGGUGUAAACCGGAGAGUGUAAGAGAGGUAAGGUUAGGGAAUAAGAGUAAAAGUGCUGCUUCAUCUUCAUUUUCAUUGGCAACAAUUGCCUCCACUCCACUUUCCGAUAUAUAUAGGUCCUCAAGUUGCACAAGAGCACUCGCCACAGAAACCGGAAAAAGGUUUAGCAAUUUGUUGCAUCCCCUUACUUGCAAUUUCCUUAAUUUGGAAAAUGAAUUUGCUGGAAGUUGGUCAGACCACAAUGCUCUUAUAUUAUCUAGUCCGCGUACAGACAAGGACUCCAAACCUGGGAGUGCAACCUGUGCAAUUGAUGAUCCCUUUAGUUAAUAAUAUAUACAUAUACAUUCCUAAUAAUUAGACACAUGUAAAUAGAAAAUAAGAGGUUAAAGGAGAAUAUAUCAGUAUAACAAAGCACAAAAUUUAAACUAGAUUCAAGAAGAUCAAGAAAGAGAAAAGAAAAGAAAAAGCCUCCAGAUUUUGAAGAUACAAUGAAACUUAACAAAAAAAAAAAAAAACCACCAAAUUUUCCUUUCGAAAUGAGGUAAUAAGAGGAUUUUUUUUUUUUCUUUUUUCUUUGCCUCUCUUUCAAAUUUGAUUAACUUCUAUGGAAAACGUAUUUUAACUAGUUAUGGAAAACAUAUUUUUUUUUUAAAAAACUUUUCUAUAAGAUACAAGUAAUACUUUAAAAAAAUUGUGAUAUCUAAAAAAUUUUUUGAAAAAUUAUUUUUAAAGAAAUAAGGUAAAUCUAUACUUUUUGUAUAAGAUGUUCUACCUUUAUAUACAAAUUUCUGAUUUUUUUUUUAAAAGUGUAUCCAAAUGGACACUAAACUAUCUAGUUUUUAAUUGUUACAACUUUGAAUUGGAUUUUAUGGUAAACUAAUUUACAAGUUAAUGCAUGGAUUCAUCUUAGAUUCCAUCUAUAAAUUUUUUUAAUUAUCUAAUAUAAGACAUUAUAUUAAUGGGUUGAAUUAAUAAUGUAAUUAUAAUUUAUUUGGCAAGUUUCUUCCUUCAAAUAUAUAAAAUGAAAAUAAAUUUUAAAAAAUAAAAAAAAUGAAAAAAAUAAAAAAUAAAAAAAGAUUUUUUUUAUAGUUUUUCUAAGAUGAUUUUGUAGAGUACUGUUAGUUUAUAGUUUUAACUUUAUUUCAUUUUACUUUUAACUUUAUUUAUUGAGGUAUGUUCUUUUUUGAAACUCUUGUUUAGAUUUUAUAGAGGAUAUAAAUUUUCAGAAAAAAAAAAUUAAAUUUAAAUAAAAUAGGAAUAAAGAAAGGCAAAAGGUGGAUGAAUUUUUUUAAGGCAAAAGUUUGAUAACUUGGCACUAUCAUGUAAUGGGUGAAAUUUUUAAAUACUCAACAAAGGCUAGUGAAAUUUAAAUUAAAAGCUUGACAUGUACCUUUUCGACCAAAAUCUUUGGAGUUGGUGUAAAGUUUUGAGUAUGAGAGAGGUUAGUCUAGGGAAUAUUAUUGCACAUUAGUUCAAAUAAAACAUCAACAUUUUUUUUUUUGUUAAAUUCUAAAUGAACACCACUAUAAAUUAAUGCGAUUUGUAUGCUCAAUUAAAUAAACUCGUUCUUAAGGCAUCACAUGAAGUGUUUAAGUCUAAUUAAUAUUAAUUAAAAAUGAUUAUUUUAAAAAAAUCCAAAGUAAUUUAUUUUUAUCAUAAGUCAAGUAGGAUAGUUUUAUAAAUAAUUGGUUCUAGUUUCUAGUAUUAUUGUACACAAUCGCUAUGUUUGUUGCACCUCCAAAAAAUCUACUACUUGUAAUUAAUUGUAUAUUAUUCUCCAUAUUCACAUCAGUUUAUGUAGUAUGAUUAAUUUAGCAACAAAAUAUAAGUUUACUUGAAAUCGCUUUAAAUUCCUAUGAUAUUAAAGUUUAAGAUUAAAACAAUGUAACAUUAGCCAAAAAGACUAAGAUCUAUAAUGUAACAUAUAAAAUUUAGAAAAUUCAAGGAAGGGUAAACUCGCACCUGUUCUACCCAGAAGAGUGGCUCAAGUUCACAUUCAGAAUUUAUUUGUUGAAAGAGUAUCUCCACUUUAUCACAAUCGAGCACUUCCAAUUCUUUCAGAAGUGGCCAGCUUGAACUAAACCUUCUAGAGCAAAAUCUUUUGAGUUGGUGUAAACCGGAGAGUGUGAGAGAGGUAAGGUUAGGGAAUGAGAGUAAAGGUGCUGCUUCAUCUUCAUUUUCAUUGGCAACAAUUGCCUCCACUCCACUCUCCGAUAUAUAAAGGUCCUCAAGUUGCACAAGAGCACUCGCCACAGAAACCGGAAAAAGGUUUAGCAAUUUGUUGCAUCCCCUUACUUGCAAUUUCCUUAAUUUGGAAAAUGAAUUUGCUGGAAGUUGGUCAGGCCACAAUGCUCUUAUAUUAUCUAGUCCGCGUACAGACAAGGACUCCAAACCUGGGAGUGCAACCUGUGCAAUUGAUGAUCCCUUUAGUUAAUAAUAUAUACAUAUACAUUCCUAAUAAUUAGACACAUGUAAAUAGAAAAUAAGAGGUUAAAGGAGAAUAUAUCAGUAUAACAAAGCACAAAAUUUAAACUCUAUUCAAGAAGAUCCAGAAAGAGAAAAGAAAACGCCUUUUGAUUUUGAAGAUCCAAUGAAACUUUAAAAAAAAAAAAAAAAACCUCCAAAUUUUGCUUUCCAAAUGAGGUAAUAGGAGGAUAUUUUUAUUUUAUUUUUUCUUUGCCUCUCUUUCAAAUUUGAUUAACUUCCAUGGAAAACGUAUUUUAACUAGCCAUGGAAAAUGGAUUUUUUUUUUAAAACUUUUAUAUAAGAUACAAGAACUCUUAGAGGGUUACAUUAUGUAAGUAAUACUUUAAAAAAAAUGUUUAAAAAUAUUGUGAUAUCCAAAAAUUUUACUACCUCGGAUUUUAAAUUUUAAAAAAAUUAUUUUUAAAGAAAUAAGGUAAAUCUAUACUUUUUCGUAUAAGAUAUUCUACCUUUAUAUACAAAUUUCUGAUUUUUUUUUUAAAGUGUAUCCAAAUGGACACUAAACUAUCUAGUUUCGAAUUUUUACAACUUUGAAUUGGAUUUUAUGGUAAACUAAUUGACAAUAUAACGCAUGGAUUCAUCUUAGAUUCCAUCUAUAAAUUUUUUAAUUAUCUAAUAUAAGACAUUAUAUUAAUGGGUUGAAUUAAUAAUGUAAUUAUAAUUUAUUUGGCAACUUUCUUCCUUCAAAUAUAUAAGACGAAAAUAUAUUUUAAAAAAUAAAAAAGAAUGAUAAAAAAUAGAAAAUAAAAAUAGCUUAUUUUAUUGUUUUUCUAAGAUGAUUUUGUAGAGUGUUAGUUUAUAGUUUAACUUUAUUUCAUUUUACUUUUAACAUUAUUUAUUGAGGUAUGUUCUUUUUUGAAACUCUUGUUUAGAUUUUAUAGAGAAUAUAAAUUUUAAGAAAAAAAAUGAAAUUUAAAUAAAAUAAGAAUAAAGAAAGGCAAAAGGUGGAUGAAUUUUUUGAAGGCAAAAGUUUGAUAAUUUGGCACUGUCAUGUAAUGGGUGAAAUUUUUAAAUACUCAACAAAGGCUAGUGAAAUUUAAAUUAAAACCUUGACAUGUACCUUUUCGACCAAAAUCUUUGGAGUUGGUGUAAAGUUUUGAGUAUGAGAGAGGUUAGUCUAGGGAAUAUUAUUGCACAUUAGUUCAAAUAAAACAUCAACAUUUUUUUUUGUUAAAUUCUAAAUGAACACCACUAUAAAUUAAUGCGAUUUUGUAUGCUCAAUUAAAUAAACUCGUUCUUAAGGCAUCACAUGAAGUGUUUAAGUCUAAUUAAUAUUAAUUAAAAAUGAUUAUAUCAAAAAAAAUCCAAAGUAAUUUUUUUUUAUCAUAAGUCAAGUAGGAUAGUUUUAUAAAUAAUUGGUUCUAGUUUCUAGUAUUAUUGUACACAAUCGCUAUGUUUGUUGCACCUCCAAAAAAUCUACUACUUGUAAUUAAUUGUAUAUUAUUCUCCAUAUUCACAUCAGUUUAUGUAGUAUGAUUAAUUUAGCAACAAAAUAUAAGUUUACUUGAAAUCGCUUUAAAUUCCUAUGAUAUUAAAGUUUAAGAUUAAAACAAUGUAACAUUAGCCAAAAAGACUAAGAUCUAUAAUGUAACAAAUAAAAUUUAGAAAAUUCAAGGCAGGGUAAACUCGCACCUGUUCUACCCAGAAGAGUGGCUCAAGUUCACAUUCAGAAUUUAUUUGUUGAAAGAGUAUCUCCACUUUAUCACAAUCGAGCACUUCCAAUUCUUUCAGAAGUAGCCAGCUUGAACUAAACCUUCUAGAGCAAAAUCUUUUGAGUUGGUGUAAACCGGAGAGUGUGAGAGAGGUAAGGUUAGGGAAUAAGAGUAAAGGUGCUGCUUCAUCUUCAUUUUCAUUGGCAACAAUUGCCUCCACUCCACUCUCCGAUAUAUAUAGGUCCUCAAGUUGCACAAGAGCACUCGCCACAGAAACCCGAAAAAGGUUUAGCAAUUUGUUGAAUCCCCUUACAUGCAAUUUCCUUAAUUUGGAAAAUGAAUUUGUUGGAAGUUGGUCAGGCCACAAUGCUCUUAUAUUAUCCAGUCCGCAUACAUACAAGGACUCCAAGCCUUGGAGUGCAACCUGUGCAAUUGAUAAUCCCUUUGGUUAAUAAUAUAUACAUAUACAUUCCUAAUGAUUAGACACAUGUAAAUAGAAAAUAAGAGGUUAAAGGAGAAUAUAUCAGUAUAACAAAGCACAAAAUUUAAACUAGAUUAAAGAAGAUCAAGAAAGAGAAAAGAAAAGAAAAAGCCUCCAGAUUUUGAAGAUACAAUGAAACUUAAAAAAAAAAAAAAAAAACCUCCAAAUUUUCCUUUCGAAAUGAGGUAAUAAGAGGAUUUUUUUUUUCUUUUUUCUUUGCCUCUCUUUCAAAUUUGAUUAACUUCUAUGGAAAACGUAUUUUAACUAGUUAUGGAAAACGGAUUUUUUUUUUUAAAAACUUUUAUAUAAGAUACAAGUAAUACUUUAAAAAAAUUGUGAUAUCUAAAAAAUUUUUUGAAAAAUUAUUUUUAAAGAAAUAAGGUAAAUCUAUACUUUUUGUAUAAGAUGUUCUACCUUUGUAUUCAAAUUUCUGAUUUUUUUUUUUUAAAGUGUAUCCAAAUGCACACUAAACUAUCUAGUUUUUAAUUGUUACAACUUUGAAUUGGAUUUUAUGGUAAACUAAUUUACAAGUUAAUGCAUAGAUUCAUCUUAGAUUCCAUCUAUAAAUUUUUUUAAUUAUCUAAUAUAAGACAGUAUAUUAAUGGGUUGAAUUAAUAAUGUAAUUAUAAUUUAUUUGGCAACUUUCUUCCUUCAAAUAUAUAAAAUGAAAAUAAAUUUUAAAAAAUAAAAAAUAAAAAAAAGAUUUUUUUUAUAGUUUUUCUAAGAUGAUUUUGUAGAGUUCUGUUAGUUUAUAGUUUUCACUUUAUUUAUUGAGGUAUGUUCUUUUUUGAAACUCUUGUUUAGAUUUUAUUGAGAAUAUAAAUUUUAAGAAAAAAAAUAAAAUUUAAAUAAAAUAAGAAUAAAGAAAGGCAAAAGCUGGAUGAAUUUUUUUAAGGCAAAAGUUUGAUAAUUUGGCACUCUCAUGUAAUGGGUGAAAUUUUUAAAUACUCAACAAAGGCUAGUGAAAUUUAAAUUAAAACCAUGACAUGUACCUUUUAGACCAAAAUCUUUGGAGUUGGUGUAAUGUUUUGAGUAUGAGAGAGGUUAGUCUAGGGAAUAUUAUUGCACAUUAGUUCAAAUAAAACAUCAACAUUUUUUUUUGUUAAAUUCUAAAUGAACACCACUAUAAAUUAAUGCGAUUUUGUAUGCUCAAUUAAAUAAACUCGUUCUUAAGGCAUCACAUGAAGUGUUUAAGUCUAAUUAAUAUUAAUUAAAAAUGAUUAUAGUAAAAAAAAUCCAAAGUAAUUUUUUUUUAUCAUAAGUCAAGUAGGAUAGUUUUAUAAAUAAUUGGUUCUAGUUUCUAGUAUUAUUGUAGACAAUCGCUAUGUUUGUUGCACCUCCAAAAAAUCUACUACUUGUAAUUAAUUGUAUAUUAUUCUCCAUAUUCACAUCAGUUUAUGUAGUAUGAUUAAUUUAGCAACAAAAUAUAAGUUUACUUGAAAUGGCUUUAAAUUCCUAUGAUAUUAAAGUUUAAGAUUAAAACAAUGUAACAUUAGCAAAAAAGAUUAAGAUCUAUAAUGUAACAAAUAAAAUUUAGAAAAUUCAAGGCAGGGUAAACUCGCACCUGUUCUACCCAGAAGAGUGGCUCAAGUUCACAUUCAGAAUUUAUUUGUUGAAAGAGUAUCUCCACUUUAUCACAAUCGAGCACUUCCAAUUCUUUCAGAAGUAGCCAGCUUGAACUAAACCUUCUAGAGCAAAAUCUUUUGAGUUGGUGUAAACCGGAGAGUGUGAGAGAGGUAAGGUUAGGGAAUAAGAGUAAAGGUGCUGCUUCAUCUUCAUUUUCAUUGGCAACAAUUGCCUCCACUCCACUCUCUGAUAUAUAUAGGUCCUCAAGUUGCACAAGAGCACUCGCCACAGAAACCCGAAAAAGGUUUAGCAAUUUGUUGAAUCCCCUUACAUGCAAUUUCCUUAAUUUGGAAAAUGAAUUUGUUGGAAGUUGGUCAGGCCACAAUGCUCUUAUAUUAUCCAGUCCGCAUACAUACAAGGACUCCAAGCCUGGGAGUGCAACCUGUGCAAUUGAUAAUCCCUUUGGUUAAUAAUAUAUACAUAUACAUUCCUAAUAAUUAGACACAUGUAAAUAGAAAAUAAGAGGUUAAAGGAGAAUAUAUCAGUAUAACAAAGCACAAAAUUUAAACUAGAUUAAAGAAGAUCAAGAAAGAGAAAAGAAAAGAAAAAGCCUCCAGAUUUUGAAGAUACAAUGAAACUUAAAAAAAAAAAAAAAAAACCUCCAAAUUUUCCUUUCGAAAUGAGGUAAUAAGAGGAUUUUUUUUUUAUUUUUUCUUUGCCUCUCUUUCAAAUUUGAUUAACUUCUAUGGAAAACGCAUUUUAACUAGUUAUGGAAAACGGAUUUUUUUUUUUUAAAACUUUUAUAUAAGAUACAAGUAAUACUUUAAAAAAAUUGUGAUAUCUAAAAAAUUUUUUGAAAAAUUAUUUUUAAAGAAAUAAGGUAAAUCUAUACUUUUUGUAUAAGAUGUUCUACCUUUGUAUUCAAAUUUCUGAUUUUUUUUUUUAAAGUGUAUCCAAAUGCACAAUAAACUACCUAGUUUUUAAUUGUUACAACUUUGAAUUGGAUUUUAUGGUAAACUAAUUUACAAGUUAAUGCAUGGAUUCAUCUUAGAUUCCAUCUAUAAAUUUUUUUAAUUAUCUAAUAUAAGACAUUAUAUUAAUGGGUUGAAUUAAUAAUGUAAUUAUAAUUUAUUUGGCAACUUUCUUCCUUCAAAUAUAUAAAAUGAAAAUAAAUUUUAAAAAAUAAAAAAAAUGAAAAAAUAAAAAAUAAAAAAAAGAUUUUUUUUAUAGUUUUUCUAAGAUGAUUUUGUAGAGUACUGUUAGUUUAUAGUUUUCACUUUAUUUAUUGAGGUAUGUUCUUUUUUGAAACUCUUGUUUAGAUUUUAUUGAGAAUAUAAAUUUUAAGAAAAAAAAUGAAAUUUAAAUAAAAUAAGAAUAAAGAAAGGCAAAAGGUGGAUGAAUUUUUUUACGGCAAAAGUUUGAUAAUUUGGCACUAUCAUGUAAUGGGUGAAAUUUUUAAAUACUCAACAAAGGCUAGUGAAAUUUAAAUUAAAACCUUGACAUGUACCUUUUAGACCAAAAUCUUUGGAGUUGGUGUAAAGUUUUGAGUAUGAGAGAGGUUAGUCUAGGGAAUAUUAUUGCACAUUAGUUCAAAUAAAACAUCAACAUUUUUUUUUGUUAAAUUCUAAAUGAACACCACUAUAAAUUAAUGCGAUUUUGUAUGCUCAAUUAAAUAAACUCGUUCUUAAGGCAUCACAUGAAGUAUUUAAGUCUAAUUAAUAUUAAUUAAAAAUGAUUAUAGUAAAAAAAAUCCAAAGUAAUUUUUUUUUAUCAUAAGUCAAGUAGGAUAGUUUUAUAAAUAAUUGGUUCUAGUUUCUAGUAUUAUUGUAGACAAUCGCUAUGUUUGUUGCACCUCCAAAAAAUCUACUACUUGUAAUUAAUUGUAUAUUAUUCUCCAUAUUCACAUCAGUUUAUGUAGUAUGAUUAAUUUAGCAACAAAAUAUAAGUUUACUUGAAAUGGCUUUAAAUUCCUAUGAUAUUAAAGUUUAAGAUUAAAACAAUGUAACAUUAGCCAAAAAGAUUAAGAUCUAUAAUGUAACAUAUAAAAUUUAGAAAAUUCAAGGAAGGGUAAACUCGCACCUGUUCUACCCAGAAGAGUGGCUCAAGUUCACAUUCAGAAUUUAUUUGUUGAAAGAGUAUCUCCACUUUAUCACAAUAGAGCACUUCCAAUUCUUUCAGAAGUGGCCAGCUUGAACUAAACCUUCUAGAGCAAAAUCUUUUGAGUUGGUGUAAACCGGAGAGUGUGAGAGAGGUAAGGUUAGGGAAUAAGAGUAAAGGUGCUGCCUCAUCUUCAUUUUCAUUGGCAACAAUUGCCUCCACUCCACUCUGAAAUAUAUUUAGGUUCUCAAGUUGCACAAGAGCACUCGCCACAGAAACCGGAAAAAGGUUUAGCAAUUUGUUGCAUCCCCUUACUUGCAAUUCCCUUAAUUUGGAAAAUGAAUUUGCUGGAAGUUGGUCAGGCCACAAUGCUCUUAUAUUAUCUAGUCCGCAUACAGAAAAGGACUCCAAGCCUGGGAGUGCAACCUGUGCAAUUGAUGAUCCCUUUAGUUAAUAAUAUAUACAUAUACAUUCCUAAUAAUUAGCACAUGUAAAUAGAAAAUAAGAGGUUAAAGGAGAAUAUAUCAGUAUAACAAAGCACAAAAUUUAAACUAGAUUCAAGAAGAUCAAGAAAGAGAAAAGAAAAGAAAAAGCCUCCAGAUUUUAAAGAUACAAUGAAACUUAAAAAAAAAAAAAAAAAACCUCCAAAUUUUCCUUUCGAAAUGAGGUAAUAAGAGGAUUUUUUUUUUUUUCUUUUUUCUUUGCCUCUCUUUCAAAUUUGAUUAACUUCUAUGGAAAACGUAUUUUAACUAGUUAUGGAAAACGGAUUUUUUUUUUAAACUUUUAUAUAAGAUACAAGUAAUACUUUUAAAAAAUUGUGAUAUCUAAAAAAGUUUUUGAAAAAUUAUUUUUAAAGAAAUAAGGUAAAUCUAUACUUUUUGUAUAAGAUCUUCUACCUUUAUAUACAAAUUUCUGAUUUUUUUUUUUAAAGUGUAUCCAAAUGGACACUAAACUAUCUAGUUUUUAAUUGUUACAACUUUGAAUUGGAUUUUAUGGUAAACUAAUUUACAAGUUAAUGCAUGGAUUCAUCUUAGAUUCCAUCUAUAAAUUUUUUUAAUUAUCUAAUAUAAGACAUUAUAUUAAUGGGUUGAAUUAAUAAUGUAAUUAUAAUUUAUUUGGCAACUUUCUUCCUUCAAAUAUAUAAAAUGAAAAUAAAUUUUAAAAAAUAAAAAAGAAUGAAAAAAAUAAAAAAUAAAAAAAGCUUUUUUUUAUAGUUUUUCUAAGAUGAUUUUGUAGAGUACUGUUAGUUUAUAGUUUUAACUUUAUUUCAUUUUACUUUUAACUUUAUUUAUUGAGGUAUGUUCUUUUUUGAAACUCUUGUUUAGAUUUUAUAGAGAAUAUAAAUUUUAAGAAAAAAAAAGGAAAUUUAAAUAAAAUAAGAAUAAAGAAAGGCAAAAGGUGGAUGAAUUUUUUUAAGGCAAAAGUUUGAUAAUUUGGCACUAUCAUGUAAUGGGUGAAAUUUUUAAAUACUCAACAAAGGCUAGUGAAAUUUAAAUUAAAAGCUUGACAUGUACCUUUUCGACCAAAAUCUUUGGAGUUGGUGUAAAGUUUUGAGUAUGAGAGAGGUUAGUCUAGGGAAUAUUAUUGCACAUUUGUUCAAAUAAAACAUCAACAUUUUUUUUUGUUAAAUUCUAAAUGAACACCACUAUAAAUUAAUGCGAUUUUGUAUGCUCAAUUAAAUAAACUCAUUCUUAAGGCAUCACAUGAAGUGUUUAAGUCUAAUUAAUAUUAAUUAAAAAUGAUUAUAUUAAAAAAAAUCCAAAGUAAUUUAUUUUUAUCAUAAGUCAAGUAGGAUAGUUUUAUAAAUAAUUGGUUCUAGUUUCUAGUAUUAUUGUACACAAUCGCUAUGUUUGUUGCACCUCCAAAAAUCUACUACUUGUAAUUAAUUGUAUAUUAUUCUCCAUAUUCACAUCAGUUUAUGUAGUAUGAUUAAUUUAGCAACAAAAUAUAAGUUUACUUGAAAUCGCUUUAAAUUCCUAUGAUAUUAAAGUUUAAGAUUAAAACAAUUUAACAUUAGCCAAAAAGAUUAAGAUCUAUAAUGUAACAUAUAAAAUUUAGAAAAUUCAAGGAAGGGUAAACUCGCACCUGUUCUACCCAGAAGAGUGGCUCAAGUUCACAUUCAGAAUUUAUUUGUUGAAAGAGUAUCUCCACUUUAUCACAAUCGAGCACUUCCAAUUCUUUCAGAAGUGGCCAACUUGAACUAAACUUUCUAGAGCAAAAUCUUUUGAGUUGGUGUAAACCGGAGAGUGUGAGAGAGGUAAGGUUAGGGAAUAAAAGUAAAAGUGCUGCUUCAUCUUCAUUUUCAUUGUGAACAAUUGCCUCCACUCCACUAUAAAAUAUAUUUAGGUUCUCAAGUUGCACAAGAGCACUCGCCACAGAAACCGGAAAAAGGUUUAGCAAUUUGUUGCAUCCCCUUACUUGCAAUUUCCUUAAUUUGGAAAAUGAAUUUGCUGGAAGUUGGUCAGGCCACAAUGCUCUUAUAUUAUCUAGUCCGCAUACAGACACGGACUCCAAGCCUGGGAGUGCAACCUGUGCAAUUGAUGAUCCCUUUAGUUAAUAAUAUAUACAUAUACAUUCCUAAUAAUUAGACACAUGUAAAUAGAAAAU